Molecule: long non-coding RNA, 546 nt
Filed under: Urocitellus parryii (Arctic ground squirrel)
Lineage: Eukaryota; Metazoa; Chordata; Mammalia; Rodentia; Sciuridae
Description: lncRNA (ENSUPAG00010000966.1)
Source: RNAcentral
AUGGUAAAUGCUCACUUCCUGCCGGAAGUGCGUCUGCAGAACCGCUUCCGCCCAGCGGGGUGGGAAGCGAGUAAAGCCACGUGUAGCGUCCGGUCAGAGGAGACCGGCUGUCGCCUCCUACUGGCCGCGGCACUCUCUGCCACCAGCUCGGGGUCCCUGAGACCCCAGGCCUUCCUCGCGGGGCCCCUGCCACCCACGCCUUCCCGCGGAGCGGAACCGCUGAGCCGCUGGGGCCUGGACGAUGCCCCGGAAGUGGGCCCGGGGCGGCGCAGGCGGCCGCGGUUUCUGAGGAAUGAAAGCAACAGUUAMAGCCUGGAGGGAGAUGGGGCAGGACGUCACUGUGAUCGCUUUGAUGGUCAGCGUCCCUGGAGCUUGGUGUGUUGGCUGGUGCUUCUGACAGCGGUCCUGCAGGUUCUGUGCUGGUGUGGGCUCUUGUGGGUUAGGGCCUCCAGGUUGGUUUGGUUCCAUUCUGACCCACGUGUGUGGUGAAGACCUGCUGGAGACAGCUCCACGUGCAUCGAAAUAAACCAAGUGCAACCCUAGGAU